Molecule: transfer RNA, 74 nt
Filed under: Candidatus Omnitrophota bacterium
Lineage: Bacteria; Pseudomonadati; Candidatus Omnitrophota
Description: Candidatus Omnitrophica bacterium tRNA-Arg
Rfam family: tRNA
About the family: Transfer RNA (tRNA) molecules are approximately 80 nucleotides in length.
Source: RNAcentral
GCGCCCGUAGCUCAACUGGAUAGAGUACUUGGCUACGAACCAAGGGGUUGGGUGUUCAAGUCACCCCGGGCGCA